GUGGCUUGAUCCUCUAGGAAUUUAUCACAAUGAUAAUUUAUAAUAUUGAUGAUCAAAUUUAUAGGAAGGAAAUGUAUUCGUUUCCUAGGGUCAUUAUAACAAGUUGUGAUGAACUUAGCUUAAAAUAACAGAAAUUUAUUUUCUCACAGUUUUUAGGGGCCAGCAGUCUGAAAUCAAGGUGUUGGCAGAGUUACGUUCCCCCUCCUGGAUAGAACCUUCCCUUGUGUCUAACAGCUUCUGAUGGCUCUCACUGUUGCCUGCUUUUUUGGCUUCAUUGUCCCAGUCUCUGCCUCUGGGUGUUGAAGUGGGGAAUCAUAAUCUUUGCAGAAUUCUCAGACUUAAACCACUUCACAGACCCAGAGCUUCUGAAUGGACGGAAAGGUUGGCUUCUGCACACUUAUAGAUGUUUACGGUGAAUGUUCCUACAGGCCAUUUUCAGUAUUUUUUACCAGGGGACAAUGCCCUGGGGAAAGGUAAAUACCCAGACCUUAUAAGUGUUCUUAGAUACUGGCUUUGAAAUGACUCUGAUCUCCAGAGAUUCAAAACAUCCUAUGGCCUGCUGGACAGAAAAGGGGUAUGUGAUAUCUAGUCGAUAGAUCAGUUAUUGGUCUAAAUACAUUCAGUAAUGGGUGCAUGAUGAUCAUUGACUUAUUCUAUGUUUA
This 662-nucleotide long non-coding RNA is filed under the name Marmota monax (woodchuck). The record is from RNAcentral. Lineage: Eukaryota; Metazoa; Chordata; Mammalia; Rodentia; Sciuridae.